GAUGAACGCUAGCGGCAGGCCUAACACAUGCAAGUCGAGGGGGAGGUUCUUUCGGGUAACUGAGACCGGCGUACGGGGGCGUAACGCGUAUACAAUCUGCCUUUCACUGGGGGAUAGCCCGAAGAAAUUUGGAUUAAUACCCCAUAGUAUAGUAAAUCGGCAUCGUGAUGCUAUUAAAGCUUAGGGGGGUAAAGAUGAGUAUGCGUUCUAUUAGCUAGUUGGAGAGGUAACGGCUCCCCAAGGCGAUGAUAGAUAGGGGUUCUGAGAGGGAUGUCCCCCACACUGGUACUGAGAUACGGACCAGACUCCUACGGGAGGCAGCAGUGAGGAAUAUUGGACAAUGGUCGGAAGACUGACCCAGCCAUGCCGCGUGCAGGAUGAAGGUCUUAUGGAUUGUAAACUGCUUUUGUAAGGGAAGAAUAAGGGCUACGCGUAGUUUGAUGACGGUACCUUACGAAUAAGCAUCGGCUAACUCCGUG
RNAcentral lists this ribosomal RNA (479 nucleotides) under uncultured bacterium. RNAcentral's name for it is "partial 16S ribosomal RNA". It matches the Rfam family "Bacterial small subunit ribosomal RNA", at positions 28 to 507 of the family's 1533-position model. The record is from RNAcentral.